Mauremys mutica (yellowpond turtle) is the source of this 534-nucleotide long non-coding RNA. RefSeq lists it as uncharacterized. The transcript has 3 exons. Lineage: Eukaryota; Metazoa; Chordata; Testudines; Geoemydidae. The record is from RefSeq and is a predicted model, not a curated record.
AAACUAACUGGUGAAGCUUUCAAUGAGUGCUGAGAGUCCCUUCUGGAGAAGGAGCUGGGAAUAGAGCCUGCAAGUAGCUCUGUGGGAGGGUCAGGAAGAAGCCUAAGAGGAGAUGACAAAGAAGACAUCCAACCAAAAUUGGCAACCAAAGGGUAAAACCCUGGAACUAAGGGAAAGGAGUGAGAGGGGAUUUGGGGCCUGAGAAGGCUGAAGGAUGGCUUAGCCCCUUUGAAAGAAGAUUGUGGCCCAGGUGGGGCAGAAGACUAUAUUCUGUUCCAUUUGGACUUCAUAUUACCCUGGAAAAGGAAAGCGUUACAAGUUUUGGCUGGAGGGAUUAACCACAUUAAAUGCCCAACUACACAAGAACAAGGGGAAACUGAGGCACGCCAUAUCCCACUGCUGGAAAGGGUAGGACUAAAUUGUGACCAGACGAGAAGGCCAACUCCCCAGAAGAGAUGGACGGGAUUGACUGCUGGAAAGAACUGCUAUGCCACACCCAGUGGUGAGGAGGUGAGUCCACUCUUCCAUAUGGCA